CUCCUUCUGGAGGCAGCAGUGGGGAAUAUUGCACAAUGGGGGAAACCCUGAUGCAGCGACGCCGCGUGAAGGAUGAAGUAUUUCGGUAUGUAAACUUCUAUCAGCAGGGAAGAAAAUGACGGUACCUGACUAAGAAGCCCCGGCUAACUACGUGCCAGCAGCCGCGGUAAUACGUAGGGGGCAAGCGUUAUCCGGAUUUACUGGGUGUAAAGGGAGCGUAGACGGCAUUGCAAGCCAGAUGUGAAAGCCCGGGGCUCAACCCCGGGACUGCAUUUGGAACUGUAGAGCUAGAGUGUCGGAGAGGCAAGUGGAAUUCCUAGUGUAGCGGUGAAAUGCGUAGAUAUUAGGAGGAACACCAGUGGCGAAGGCGGCUUGCUGGACGAUGACUGACGUUGAGGCUCGAAAGCGUGGGGAGCAAACAGGAUUAGAUACCCUGGUAGUCCACGCCGUAAACGAUGACUACUAGGUGUCGGGUAGCAAAGCUAUUCGGUGCCGCAGCAAACGCAAUAAGUAGUCCACCUGGGGAGUACGUUCGCAAGAAUGAAACUCAAAGGAAUUGACGGGGGCCCGCACAAGCGGAGGAACAUGUGGUUUAAUUCGAUGAUACGCGAGGAACCUUACCCGGGCUUAAAUUGCAGAUGAAUUACGGUGAAAGCCGUAAGCCGCAAGGCAUCUGUGAAGGUGCUGCAUGGUUGUCGUCAGCUCGUGCCGUGAGGUGUCGGCUUAAGUGCCAUAACGAGCGCAACCCUUGUUGUCAGUUACUAACAGGUUCUGCUGAGGACUCUGACAAGACUGCCAUCGUAAGAUGUGAGGAAGGUGGGGAUGACGUCAAAUCAGCACGGCCCUUACGUCCGGGGCUACACACGUGUUACAAUGGGGGGUACAGAGGGCCGCUACCACGCGAGUGGAUGCCAAUCCCAAAAACCUCUCUCAGUUCGGACUGGAGUCUGCAACCCGACUCCACGAAGCUGGAUUCGCUAGUAAUCGCGCAUCAGCCACGGCGCGGUGAAUACGUUCCCGGGCCUUGUACACACCGC
RNAcentral lists this ribosomal RNA (1037 nucleotides) under uncultured bacterium. RNAcentral's name for it is "bacterial SSU rRNA". It matches the Rfam family "Bacterial small subunit ribosomal RNA", at positions 336 to 1393 of the family's 1533-position model. The record is from RNAcentral.